RNAcentral lists this ribosomal RNA (439 nucleotides) under uncultured bacterium. Its description in RNAcentral is "partial 16S ribosomal RNA". It matches the Rfam family "Bacterial small subunit ribosomal RNA", at positions 339 to 795 of the family's 1533-position model. The record is from RNAcentral.
CUACGGGUCGCUCCAGUGAGGAAUAUUGCGCAAUGGGGGGAACCCUGAUGCAGCAACGCCGCGUGGAGGAUGACGCAUUUCGGUGUGUAAACUCCUUUUAUAUGUCAAGAAAAUGACGGUAGCAUAUGAAUAAGCACCGGCUAACUCCGUGCCAGCAGCCGCGGUAAUACGGAGGGUGCAAGCGUUACUCGGAAUCACUGGGCGUAAAGGACGCGUAGGCGGGUUGGAAAGUCAGGUGUGAAAUCCUACAGCUUAACUGUAGAACUGCACUUGAAACUUCUAAACUAGAGUAUGGGAGGGGGAGAUGGAAUUAGUGGUGUAGGGGUAAAAUCCGUAGAUAUCACUAGGAAUACCUAAAGCGAAGGCGAUCUCCUGGAACAUUACUGACGCUAAGGCGUGAAAGCGUGGGGAGCAAACAGGAUUAGAUACCCUCGUAGUC